RNAcentral lists this ribosomal RNA (1700 nucleotides) under Campylobacter jejuni. RNAcentral's name for it is "partial 23S ribosomal RNA". It matches the Rfam family "Bacterial large subunit ribosomal RNA", at positions 1244 to 2925 of the family's 2925-position model. The record is from RNAcentral. Lineage: Bacteria; Pseudomonadati; Campylobacterota; Epsilonproteobacteria; Campylobacterales; Campylobacteraceae.
UUUGCGUCGAAGGUAUACCGGUAAGGAGUGCUGGAGCGAAUAGAAGUGAGCAUGCAGGCAUGAGUAGCGAUAAUUAAUGUGAGAAUCAUUAACGCCGUAAACCCAAGGUUUCCUACGCGAUGCUCGUCAUCGUAGGGUUAGUCGGGUCCUAAGUCGAGUCCGAAAGGGGUAGACGAUGGCAAAUUGGUUAAUAUUCCAAUACCAACAUUAGUGUGCGAUGGAAGGACGCUUAGGGCUAAGGGGGCUAGCGGAUGGAAGUGCUAGUCUAAGGUCAUAGGAGGUUAUACAGGCAAAUCCGUAUAACAAUACUCCGAGAACUGAAAGGCUUUUUGAAGUCUUCGGAUGGAUAGAAGAACCCCUGAUGCCGUCGAGCCAAGAAAAGUUUCUAAGUUUAGCUAAUGUUGCCCGUACCGUAAACCGACACAGGUGGGUGGGAUGAGUAUUCUAAGGCGCGUGGAAGAACUCUCUUUAAGGAACUCUGCAAAAUAGCACCGUAUCUUCGGUAUAAGGUGUGGUUAGCUUUGUAUUAGGAUUUACUCCGAAAGCAAGGAAACUUACAACAAAGAGUCCCUCCCGACUGUUUACCAAAAACACAGCACUCUGCUAACUCGUAAGAGGAUGUAUAGGGUGUGACGCCUGCCCGGUGCUCGAAGGUUAAUUGAUGGGGUUAGCAUUAGCGAAGCUCUUGAUCGAAGCCCGAGUAAACGGCGGCCGUAACUAUAACGGUCCUAAGGUAGCGAAAUUCCUUGUCGGUUAAAUACCGACCUGCAUGAAUGGCGUAACGAGAUGGGAGCUGUCUCAAAGAGGGAUCCAGUGAAAUUGUAGUGGAGGUGAAAAUUCCUCCUACCCGCGGCAAGACGGAAAGACCCCGUGGACCUUUACUACAGCUUGACACUGCUACUUGGAUAAGAAUGUGCAGGAUAGGUGGGAGGCUUUGAGUAUAUGACGCCAGUUGUAUAUGAGCCAUUGUUGAGAUACCACUCUUUCUUAUUUGGGUAGCUAACCAGCUUGAGUUAUCCUCAAGUGGGACAAUGUCUGGUGGGUAGUUUGACUGGGGCGGUCGCCUCCCAAAUAAUAACGGAGGCUUACAAAGGUUGGCUCAGAACGGUUGGAAAUCGUUCGUAGAGUAUAAAGGUAUAAGCCAGCUUAACUGCAAGACAUACAAGUCAAGCAGAGACGAAAGUCGGUCUUAGUGAUCCGGUGGUUCUGUGUGGAAGGGCCAUCGCUCAAAGGAUAAAAGGUACCCCGGGGAUAACAGGCUGAUCUCCCCCAAGAGCUCACAUCGACGGGGAGGUUUGGCACCUCGAUGUCGGCUCAUCGCAUCCUGGGGCUGGAGCAGGUCCCAAGGGUAUGGCUGUUCGCCAUUUAAAGCGGUACGCGAGCUGGGUUCAGAACGUCGUGAGACAGUUCGGUCCCUAUCUGCCGUGGGCGUAAGAAGAUUGAAGAGAUUUGACCCUAGUACGAGAGGACCGGGUUGAACAAACCACUGGUGUAGCUGUUGUUCUGCCAAGAGCAUCGCAGCGUAGCUAAGUUUGGAAAGGAUAAACGCUGAAAGCAUCUAAGCGUGAAGCCAACUCUAAGAUGAAUCUUCUCUAAGCUCUCUAGAAGACUACUAGUUUGAUAGGCUGGGUGUGUAAUGGAUGAAAGUCCUUUAGCUGACCAGUACUAAUAGAGCGUUUGGCUUAUCUUUAAUAAAGCAU